This 467-nucleotide ribosomal RNA is filed under the name uncultured bacterium. RNAcentral's name for it is "partial 16S ribosomal RNA". It matches the Rfam family "Bacterial small subunit ribosomal RNA", at positions 28 to 506 of the family's 1533-position model. The record is from RNAcentral.
GACGAACGCUGGCGGCGUGCUUAACACAUGCAAGUCGAACGGAAAGGCCCUGCUUUUGUGGGGUGCUCGAGUGGCGAACGGGUGAGUAACACGUGAGUAACCUGCCCUUGACUUUGGGAUAACUUCAGGAAACUGGGGCUAAUACCGGAUAGGAGCUCCUGCUGCAUGGUGGGGGUUGGAAAGUUUCGGCGGUUGGGGAUGGACUCGCGGCUUAUCAGCUUGUUGGUGGGGUAGUGGCUUACCAAGGCUUUGACGGGUAGCCGGCCUGAGAGGGUGACCGGCCACAUUGGAACUGAGAUACGGCCCAGACUCCUACGGGAGGCAGCAGUGGGGAAUAUUGCACAAUGGGCGGAAGCCUGAUGCAGCAACGCCGCGUGCGGGAUGACGGCCUUCGGGUUGUAAACCGCUUUCGCCUGUGACGAAGCGUGAGUGACGGUAAUGGGGAAAGAAGCACCGGCUAACUACGU